Ictidomys tridecemlineatus (thirteen-lined ground squirrel) is the source of this 503-nucleotide non-coding RNA. The record is from RefSeq and is a predicted model, not a curated record. NCBI's taxonomy places the organism in Eukaryota, Metazoa, Chordata, Mammalia, Rodentia, Sciuridae.
CUAGGAUACUGGCAAUGCUUCUCAAAGAACAAUCAGCAGGACUUAAACAACCAGGACAAAUGGAUACCAAUCUAAUUUGCUAUUGCGAAAGAAGACAGCCUUGAUUGCUUUGCUGUUUUUUCCAUAAAAUGAGGAAUAACACCUUGAAUACAGAAGCUCCUUCACUGUUGAUCAUCAAAAGAGAAAAGGAUGGUUCUGUGAACUUCAGAGAAAUCAAAACCACUCCAAGUUGGCUAAUUUCAAACCUAGGAGAUCAAUUUGAGGAUUGUUUCUAAAAAGAAGAGUUACUUGAAAUGAAAUCCAAAAUUAAUCAACAAGGUUCCAACAUAUGGUUGCCUUCUAUAAUUUAUCAAUAUUGUUUCCAUCCCAGAAACACUGUCAUUGGCUUGGCAUCCAUCCUUCAGUGCCAAUUCUGCCACAAGCAUCACAUAUAUUGAGAAGUUCUCACCUCUUCCAAAAACCUUAACCAAAAAAAUAUAUUCACAAAUAUGGACUACUGAGAA